RNAcentral lists this ribosomal RNA (274 nucleotides) under uncultured bacterium. RNAcentral describes it as "partial 16S ribosomal RNA". It matches the Rfam family "Bacterial small subunit ribosomal RNA", at positions 523 to 796 of the family's 1533-position model. The record is from RNAcentral.
AUACGAAGGGCCCAAGCGUUAAUCGGAAUCACUGGGCUUAAAGCGUACGUAGGCGGACUCGCAGGCACCUUGUGAUAUCCCUCGGCUCAACCGAGGAACUGCUUGGUGAACCGCGCGUCUUGAGGCAAGUAGGGGCUGUCGGAACGAUAGGUGGAGCGGUGAAAUGCGUUGAUAUCUAUCGGAACGCCGAAGGCGAAGGCAGACAGCUGGGCUUGUUCUGACGCUGAGGUACGAAAGCGUGGGGAGCGAACGGGAUUAGAUACCCCUGUAGUCC